This 406-nucleotide ribosomal RNA is filed under the name uncultured bacterium. RNAcentral describes it as "partial 16S ribosomal RNA". It matches the Rfam family "Bacterial small subunit ribosomal RNA", at positions 30 to 526 of the family's 1533-position model. The record is from RNAcentral.
AUUGAACGCUGGCGGCAGGCCUAACACAUGCAAGUCGAACGAGUGGCGGACGGGUGAGUACUGUCUGGGAAACUGCCUGAUUGAGGGGGUUAACUACUGGAAACGGUAGCUAAUACCGCAUACCAUCAGCUGUGCCCAGAUGGGAUUGGCUGGUUGGUGGGGUAACGGCUCCCAGAGGAGACGAUCCCUAGCUGGUUUGAGAGGAUGACAAGCCAUAAUGGAACUGAUACACGGUCCAGACUCCUACGGGAGGCAGCAGUGGGGAAUAGUGCACAAUGGGCGCAAGCCUGCUGCAGCCAUGCCGCGUGUAUGAAGAAGGCCGUCGGGUUGUAAAGUACUUUCAGCGGUGAGGCGUUACCCGCAGAAGAAGCACCGGCUAACUCCGUGCCAGCAGCCGCGGUAAUAC